This is a non-coding RNA of Cinara cedri, 507 nucleotides long. The record is from the annotation of a GenBank genome assembly. NCBI's taxonomy places the organism in Eukaryota, Metazoa, Arthropoda, Insecta, Hemiptera, Aphididae.
CACGCACAUUUUUCAAAAUCUAGACGUGUGCAAAUUUAAUACACCUUUGAUAUUUUUCAUAAUAAAAAUUGUAUGUUGCAUCUCCAUUUAGAUAAUUGUUCAACCUAUCAUCUCGUACGUGUGUCUAGAUAUUUCGAAACACAAAUUCGCUGUACAUACGUCGCCAUAUUACGAGUGAAUUUUUUUUUUUUUUUUUUUUUAAAAUCUCAAUAUUCCGUAAGUACCUAAACAUGGAAAUGUGACAUUUAUGUGCGCGCGUACAAUAUUAUUAUAUGGUUCGUGACACUUGACCAUAAAAUAUUACUUUUUUUGACAUAAUAUUAUUAUUGUUGUGCCCAACCGCGUAUAAUAAUAUAAUCUCGUAUUAUAUUAUUAUUAUACAAAUACCAUAAUAUUAUUAUUAAACGAGUAUGUAUUAUACGAAACGCGUGUGGGUGGGGAAAUACUCGCGUAUAAUCUUCGAGUGCACGAAUGCAUUAAUAUUGCAUAACCGAUACGCCGUGUUUA